This 480-nucleotide ribosomal RNA is filed under the name uncultured eukaryote. RNAcentral describes it as "bacterial SSU rRNA". It matches the Rfam family "Bacterial small subunit ribosomal RNA", at positions 30 to 531 of the family's 1533-position model. The record is from RNAcentral.
UGAACGCUGGCGGUGUGCUUAACACAUGCAAGUCGUACGAGGUUUAUUUAGACUUCUGUUUGAAUAAACUGCAGUGGCGGACGGGUGCGUAACGCGUAAGAACUUACCUUUUGGAGGGGGAUAACAAUGGGAAACCGCUGCUAAUACCCCAUAAUGCUGAGGAGCUAAAUGGUGAAUAACCGCCAAGAGAGAGGCUUGCGUCUGAUUAGCUGGUUGGUGGGGGUAAUGGCCUCCCAAGGCAACGAUCAGUAGCUGGUCUGAGAGGAUGAUCAGCCACACUGGGACUGAGACACGGCCCAGACUCCUACGGGAGGCAGCAGUGAGGAAUUUUCCACAAUGGGCGCAAGCCUGACGGAGCAACGCCGCGUGAGGGAUGAAGGCCUCUGGGCUGUAAACCUCUUUUAUCAAGGAAGAAGAUCUGACGGUACUUGAUGAAUAAGCCACGGCUAAUUCCGCGCCAGCAGCCGCGGUAAUCUGAUG